This is a long non-coding RNA of Bos taurus (domestic cattle), 906 nucleotides long. The record is from Ensembl. NCBI's taxonomy places the organism in Eukaryota, Metazoa, Chordata, Mammalia, Artiodactyla, Bovidae.
GAUCAGGCAGAACGUCAGGGCGGCCAGGCCCAGGCCAUAUGGUGCAUCCGAGGUCCUCCUUUGUAAUCCUGGGUAAUUGAAAUCCUCUUCCUCAUUCGGACGUGGAAAGCCUUCCUCGGUGAAGAAAAAGGAAACCAUCAAUCACGGAGGAUCAACUAGGCUGGACCAGACCCAUGCCCUGUCCAAAAUAAGAUGCAGUGUCCCCACUGUCCCCAUUUUACUGAGGCACAGACUGAGGCUCAGAAAGGCUCCUGCCAGGUCACCCAGCUGGAGCACCACUGGUGUCCUCUGGAGCCCCCACACCACGCUGUUCGUAAUGACGACUACUGCAUUGGCACGUCUCGUUGGGGUUCAACUUCUGUCCCUGCAGCUCCUGAGCUGCGUGACAUGGGCAGGGGACAUCAACUUUCUGAGCCCGAGUUGCCUCUUCUGGAAAGCGGGAGUCAUGCCGUCUUGCUCGCAGGGUGGUGGUCCCAGGGCUUGUGGCUGUGCCCUGCCCCUCUUGGGAACAGCGGGGGCCCAGGAACCUCUCUGCAGCACGGCUACCACCCAACCUCACCCGGCCACGAGCGAGGAUCCAGGAGAGGACGCGGGCCCUGGCAGAGCUGAUCAGUAUCCUUCGCUCUUAACUGGUGGAUGUGCUAGAAGGGGAGGUGACGGCUGCAGGCAGCCCCUCGCGUGGUAAAGAGAAUGAAGACAGCACAUUCAGAGAUGUCAGGGGAGGGGAGAGAGAAGGGUGUCUGAGUGUCGCCUCCCUGCUCCCAGGAGGCCCUUGUGUCUGCUUCCUGCCUGUCUUAUCUGGAUUUAUUUUUGUCAUCCACUAACUCCUCCAUUUUACUUCUGUUCAUUCAUUUGAAUUCUGUUUCUUUUUUCUUUUCUUUCCCCCUUUUUUUGCAAGUAAAAGAG